Molecule: ribosomal RNA, 846 nt
Filed under: Aiptasia mutabilis
Lineage: Eukaryota; Metazoa; Cnidaria; Anthozoa; Actiniaria; Aiptasiidae
Description: partial 12S ribosomal RNA
Rfam family: Bacterial small subunit ribosomal RNA
Source: RNAcentral
AUGAACNAGGGGAAGACUCACAUAGAGGCAGCAGUAGAGAAUCUUGUGCCAUAAACGAAAGUAUGACACAGAGAGGACACAUUUAAUUGAGCCCGUCAAAUUAAGUGCCAGCCGACGCGGUUAAACUUAAGGGCUGGUCUUUAUAAGUAAAAAGGCGUAAAGGAUGUGUAGGCCAAGAAACGAUCCAAGUAGGUAAAUGGAAUUUUUCUGGAGCGGUAGAAUGUGAGGAUAGAAAAUAGAACCCCUAAGGUAAAAACUAUUUACUACAAGGUAGGCUGAAACAUGAGAGUGUGGGGAGCAAACAGGAUUAGAGACCCUGGUAGUCCACACUGUGAACUUUGAAGAUGAUGCUUAGCAGACCCGAAAGGUAAAAUCUUCCGCCUGAGUAGUACGAUCGCAAGAUUAAAAUUCAAAAACUUUGGCUGUUCACUAUUUCGAUUAGAGGAGCGUGUAGUUUAAUUCGAUGGUCCGCGUGUUACCUUACCCCAACUUGAAUCUGUGACCGGUAUUGCAUGGCCGUCGUAAGUUCGUGUAUUAAGCUAGAAGGGACCCAACCCGGGCAUUUGCCCGGAGGAAGUCAGGUCUUAUGAUCCGAAUGUUGGGGGAUUUUAUGCGCUACAUUUUCUUAUAUAAUGAGAAACCUGGAAGGUGAGUCUCUAAAGUAAGAGUUCGGAAGGUCGCUGUAAGACGACUGGAAGUUGGAUUUAAUAGUAAUCGGAAAGUAGGGCGUUCCGGUGAAUUGGUACAAGUGUUAGCACAAAUUGCCCGUCACCUUUACUUAGAAUGGUUAUUCGGAUGUCUUCGGUGAUUAUGAAUGCCUACGAGGUAAAGCAAGUCGUAACAUAG